GUAUGCUUCACUUUUCUAUUUCCUAGCCAAUAAAUCUCAUGUUUCUUCUGGAAAGUACAGUGAAGGCUAUCUAUGUUACUUUCAGUGUUGUGAGUGCUGAAGCAGCCAGUGCAGUGACACAUGUGUAUGUAUGUGUGUGUUUAUCUCUGACAAAAGAUACAGCAGAAAUCCAAGUAAGAACAGUAGGAUCCAUCAUUUUACUGUAUAGUCACCAAGUCCUUCUCCUAUUAGUUGUGAUGAAAGUUGUGUUUGCUUAUAAAUUUUAGUUCCAAGAGCUCUGGGAGGUCACAACUGAAUCAAUUCCUCUCUUCUACAAAGAGCUCAUUAAUUUCCCUUGCUACUAGUCCUGUUGGAGACCAAGGCAUAAUGGGGUUAACUCCAUGUUUAUAACUGUGGAUGGUGUAUUCAGGGAUGUAGAUGAGAUCUGAUGCUGAUCUGGAGCAGUGGUGCUGGGGAAAGUGGCAGAGCCCUCUUCCUCCUGGAUGCACCAGUAACACUGGUAUAGAUUUUAUUGGGUCUUGGCAUUGCUGGGACUCUAUUUAUCUUCAGAAAUUUGCUUCAAACGGAGAAAUUUGCUGAGAUAUGUUAAUAGAAAACAAGCAGAAAUGAAGAGCAAGGUCCCUUGCUCUUAAGCAAACAUCUUGCCUCUCCAUUGUGGGGCCUUGCUGGCAAGACAUGCUGUGUUUCAAAGGGAUGAAAUGAUUGUGUUAACCUGAACGUUUCUUCAGUGACCUCACUGUGGCUGUUGCCAUGCUUACCUGCAAAUACAAAAACAAACAGAUGGACUGGUUCUCAGCCAAGCACUCAGGAAAGAUCUGUGCUUGCCCAGGAAUUUGCCUCGCCUCUCAGUAGUACAGAAGACACUUGAAUCAUACACAGAUCCUGCCAGUCGUGUGCCAAAUGGACUCCCGUUUUCCAAAGGACUUAACAGCUGAAAUGAAAUUGGGAAGGAAAUUUAGGCUCUAAAGCCUGUGAUGUUUUGCUUCUCCUACUGUACAGUGAAUGCCACUAGAAUUUGGGAUGCCUUUGUCCAGGUUUCUCAGCUCAUACUGAUGUCUUGUGGAAUGGAGGGCACCCACACUUCAUUCAGUCUUCAGGAAACUCCUGCAUCUACAGAUAAAGGUAAUGGUUGUCACUCUCUCUAAAUCAUCUGAAAAAUGGCCAGGUAACCCAUUCACACUGAUUAUUAGUGUGUGUGUCCUACCUUUAUUCUCUUUUGCCCACAGCUCAUCCCUUAGCAUCUAAAUCUGAACUUUAACAAGAUAUUUUCAAAGUUAUGCCAAGAUAGAACUCACAAAAUCUUCCUGCUUUUCGUCUUGCAGUACUG
Molecule: long non-coding RNA, 1327 nt
Filed under: Phasianus colchicus (ring-necked pheasant)
Lineage: Eukaryota; Metazoa; Chordata; Aves; Galliformes; Phasianidae
Description: lncRNA (ENSPCLG00000005231.1)
Source: RNAcentral